AGGUGACUAGUUCAUAUUGGUGGGUUAGGUUAGGUUAGGUGACUAGUUCAUACUCAGUUGGUGGGUUAGGUUAGGUUAGGUUAGGUGACUAGUUCAUAUUGGUGGGUUAGGUUAGGUUAGGUGACUAGUUCAUACUCAGUUGGUGGGUUAGGUUAGGUUAGGUUAGGUUAGGUUAGGUGACUAGUUCAUACUCAGUGGGUUAGGUUAGGUUAGGUUAGGUUAGGUGACUAGUUCAUGUUGGUGGGUUAGGUUAGGUUAGGUGACUAGUUCAUACUCAGUUGGUGGGUUAGGUUAGGUUAGGUUAGGUUAGGUGACUAGUUCAUACUCAGUUCACAUUUGCUUGAAAAAUCAUCCUCUGUGGUGGUUCCUAUGAGGGCUUUUUUGACGUCACUGUUGCCUCGUGAUUUAGGUAAUAAUGGUACAGGUAAAAAUGGCACAAGUAGAAAAGGCAAGGAAGAAAUGGCAAGGGUUAGAACAAACAUCAACACAGUCGCUCACUCAUAUUGGAAGCUGUCUCAUAAAUCUGACAAUCACUUAUACGUUUCGACUUGACUGAGUCUGGGAAAUCGAAACUUCUGAGAGCAGUAAAAUCUUUAUGAAACUUUAUGAACCGUUGUAAAUCUUCAUGAACCACAAAACCCUCUAAUGUGGUACUAUCGAACGUGGAUCCUACCCUACAGCCAAGUCACUGUAGCAGUCAAGUAGACACCAUCUCAAUGACCACACCACCACACCAUCGUGGAAAUCAUAGUUAUCAAUAAAUGAAAUGAGAUCUACUUAUAAAGAUACAUUGUGGACAGUGUGGCUGAUUCAUUCCAAGUUUUUUUUAAGCUCCAAACUGACUCAAGAACUAGAAACAACGAUCUACCGAUUCAAGCGAGGCGACACUGAAGUGAUUGAAAUCAAAAUCACUAGAGCUGGCAGACUCGUAAUGAGCCAAUAGGUUCGCUGUUAGCCGUCUUUCCUUGUUUCCAUGUUCCUUCCUACGUAUUUUUCACCAAAUCCUCAUUCUUCCUUUUCUACAUCCCGGAAUCUCCUCCUCUUUCCCUCCUCCUCUUCCUCCUACAUCACACCUACUAAA
Long non-coding RNA from Eriocheir sinensis (Chinese mitten crab), 1081 nucleotides. RefSeq lists it as uncharacterized. The transcript is spliced from 3 exons. The record is from RefSeq and is a predicted model, not a curated record. NCBI's taxonomy places the organism in Eukaryota, Metazoa, Arthropoda, Malacostraca, Decapoda, Varunidae.